GAUAUCAGGUAAGAGUACCCACUGGAUUUAAGCAUAUAACUAAGUGGAGGAAAAGAAACUAACAAGGAUUCCCCUAGUAACGGCGAGUGAAGCGGGAAGAGCUCAAUCUUAAAAUCUCUAUAUUAAAUUGUAGUGAAUUGUAGUCUAUUGAAUUGGUUUUGCAAUGAACAUAUGGAAAAGUCCCUUGGAAGAGGGCAGCAUAGAGGGUGAUACUCCCGUCUUUGCCGUAUGAUUUAUUGUAUUAAUUCCUCUUUCAUUGAGUCGAGCUGCUUGGGAAUGCAGCUCAAAGCAGGUGGUAAAUUCCAUCUAAAGCUAAAUAUGUGUGUAAGACCGAUAGCGAACAAGUACCGUGAGGGAAAGAUGAAAAGAACUUUGAAAAGAGAGUUAAACAGUACCUGAAACUGCUGAAAGGGAAUCGGAUUGUUGCCAGUGUGAUCCAAUACAUAUUUCAAUAGUGAGUAAUCGUUGUUGCCCUGUGUGUUGGUGUGAUGUUAGGGUCAAUUGAUUUUGCAAGAAAUUGGUAAGAGGGAGGUAGGUGAUAUUUUCGGAUAUGACUAUUAUAUUCUUUUGCUAGUGUUGUGAAUGAGAUUGAGGAAACAAUGUGCAAUUUAUUUACUUUUCAUCUUUUUUGACUUNUUUAUUUUACAGCUUGCUGUUAUUUAAGUAAUGUUUUGAGAAACUUGAUAUGUAGACAAUGCCAUUCGGGACCCUGACAAAAUGGAGCAAUCUGUCCCGUCUUGAAACACGGACCAAGGAGUCUAACAUGUAUGCAAGUAUUUAAGUGGUAAACUUAAAUGCAUAAUGAAAGUGAAUUAAAGCAUUUAGCUUUAUAAGGUAGGAAGAGUUUUACUCUGCACUAUCAACCGAUCUAGAACCUUCGGGUAAAAGAUUUGAGUAUGAGCAUGUAUGUUGGUACCCGAAAGAUGGUGAACUAUGCCUGAAUAGGGUGAAGCCAGGGGAAACUCUGGUGGAGGCUCGUAGCGGUUCUGACGUGCAAAUCGAUCGUCAAAUUUGGGUAUAGGGGCGAAAGACUAAUCGAACCAUCUAGUAGCUGGUUCCCUCCGAAAUUUCCCUCAGGAUAGC
This 1083-nucleotide ribosomal RNA is filed under the name Eurychasma dicksonii. Its description in RNAcentral is "eukaryotic LSU rRNA". It matches the Rfam family "Eukaryotic large subunit ribosomal RNA", at positions 1 to 982 of the family's 3401-position model. Lineage: Eukaryota; Oomycota; Myzocytiopsidales; Eurychasmataceae. The record is from RNAcentral.